This 492-nucleotide ribosomal RNA is filed under the name uncultured bacterium. RNAcentral describes it as "partial 16S ribosomal RNA". It matches the Rfam family "Bacterial small subunit ribosomal RNA", at positions 29 to 507 of the family's 1533-position model. The record is from RNAcentral.
AGUGAACGCUGGCGGUAGGCCUAACACAUGCAAGUCGAACGGCAGCACAGUAAGAGCUUGCUCUUACGGGUGGCGAGUGGCGGACGGGUGAGGAAUACAUCGGAAUCUACUUUUUCGCGGGGGAUAACGUAGGGAAACUUACGCUAAUACCGCAUACGACCUACGGGUGAAAGCAGGGGAUCUUCGGACCUUGCGCGAUUGAAUGAGCCGAUGUCGGAUUAGCUAGUUGGCGGGGUAAAGGCCCACCAAGGCGACGAUCCGUAGCUGGUCUGAGAGGAUGAUCAGCCACACUGGAACUGAGACACGGUCCAGACUCCUACGGGAGGCAGCAGUGGGGAAUAUUGGACAAUGGGCGCAAGCCUGAUCCAGCCAUACCGCGUGGGUGAAGAAGGCCCUCGGGUUGUAAAGCCCUUUUGUUGGGAAAGAAAAGCAGCAGGUUAAUACCCCGCUGCUCUGACGGUACCCAAAGAAUAAGCACCGGCUAACUUCGUG